UAGACAGCGUGUAGCAGAGCUGACUGCUUGUUACUAUGGCUACUCCGUACGUUUAUCCCUUAGGUUGUAUUUUUGUUUCCCCUCUCGGUUAGCUUGUAAUUUUCUGGAGUCAUUUUCAGGAGUCAUUUGAAUACUAGGGGACAGAUGUCACCGAUUGAGCUGGCCCCCCUCCCACUGCCCCGCCUCUUCCCUCCCCUAUCAAAGGCCUGGGAGUGCCGGAGUACACAUCAAUCAUUCUGAGUGACAGGUUCUGUUCAGAUUCAGAGCCGAGAUGCAGUGGUAGCAAACGAUAGCACGUGGCACAUGCCAUUCAUUGGGGACACAAGUCUGCGUCUGGCCUGUGUCAUUUCCUGAUCCCAUUUGCUCCAUUCUUUUCUUUCUACUUUCUACUAUCAUCUCCUGUUCUGUCCAUUACAUACAUAAAAAAGGCGUAAAAUGUCUAAAUAAAAACACAGGUUCAGUAGCAGUCCAGCGGCUGUAUAUCCCAUCAGACAUCAGUGAUGAGCCACUGGGCACAGCUGGUAGUCAGA
This is a long non-coding RNA of Carassius carassius (crucian carp), 530 nucleotides long. RefSeq lists it as uncharacterized. The record is from RefSeq and is a predicted model, not a curated record. The transcript is spliced from 3 exons. Lineage: Eukaryota; Metazoa; Chordata; Actinopteri; Cypriniformes; Cyprinidae.